This 406-nucleotide ribosomal RNA is filed under the name uncultured bacterium. RNAcentral's name for it is "partial 16S ribosomal RNA". It matches the Rfam family "Bacterial small subunit ribosomal RNA", at positions 30 to 526 of the family's 1533-position model. The record is from RNAcentral.
AUUGAACGCUGGCGGCAGGCUUAACACAUGCAAGUCGAGCGAGCGGCGGACGGGUGAGUAAUGUCUGGGAAACUGCCUGAUGGAGGGGGAUAACUACUGGAAACGGUAGCUAAUACCGCAUACCAUCAGAUGUGCCCAUAUGGGAUUAGCUAGUAGGGGGGGUAAUGGCUCACCGAGGCGACGAUCCCUAGCUGGUCUGAUAGGAUGACCAGGCAGACUGAAACUGAAACUCGGUCCAGGCGCCUACGGGAGGCAGCCGUGGGGAAUAGUGUACAAUGGGCGCAAGCCUGAUGCAGCCAUGCCGCGUGUGUGAAGAAGGCCUUCGGGUUGUAAAGCACUUUCAGCGAGGAGGCGUUACUCGCAGAAGAAGCACCGGCUAACUCCGUGCCAGCAGCCGCGGUAAUUC